AUGGGCAAAGGCGAUCCUAAAAAGCCGAGAGGCAGAAUGUCAUCACAGGCAUCCUUUGUGCAAACUGGCCAGGAGGAGCACAAGAAGCAGCACCCAGAUGGUUCCGUCAGCUUCUCAGAGCCUUCUAAGAAGUGCUCAGGGAAGUGGAAGGUCACGUCAGCUAAAGAGAAAGCAAAAUCUGAGGACAUGGCACAGGCAGACCAGGCCUGUGAAAUGAAAGCGAAAUGAAACCUACAUCCCUCCCAAAGGAGAAAUAAAAAAGAAGCUCCGGGAUCCCAAUGCAUUCAAGAGGCCUCCUUCGGCCUUUUUCUUGUUCUGGACUCCAACAUUAAAGGAGAACAUCCUGGUGUGUCCAUUGGUGAUGUUGUAAAGAAACAGAGAGGUGUAGAAUAACAGUGCUGCUGGUGAAAGGCAAUCUUGUAAAAAGAAGACUGCAAAGCUGAAGGAAAAAUACAAAAACGAUAUUGCUUAUUGCUGCAUACUCAGCUAAAGGAAAACUGGAUGCAGCAGGAAAAAAAAGAGUCAUCACGACUGAAAAAAGCAAAGAAGGAAGAGGAGGAAGAUGAAAAGGAUGAUGAGGAGGAGGAAGAUGAAGAAGAUGAUGAUG
RNAcentral lists this long non-coding RNA (607 nucleotides) under Homo sapiens (human). RNAcentral describes it as "non-protein coding lnc-MBOAT2-3:1". Lineage: Eukaryota; Metazoa; Chordata; Mammalia; Primates; Hominidae. The record is from RNAcentral.